UACGAAGGGGGCUAGCGUUGCUCGGAAUUACUGGGCGUAAAGCGCACGUAGGCGGUCUUUUAAGUCGGGGGUGAAAUCCUGGAGCUCAACUCCAGAACUGCCUUCGAUACUGGAGAGCUCGAGUCCGGGAGAGGUGAGUGGAACUGCGAGUGUAGAGGUGAAAUUCGUAGAUAUUCGCAAGAACACCAGUGGCGAAGGCGGCUCACUGGCCCGGUACUGACGCUGAGGUGCGAAAGCGUGGGGAGCAAACAGG
RNAcentral lists this ribosomal RNA (253 nucleotides) under uncultured bacterium. RNAcentral describes it as "partial 16S ribosomal RNA". It matches the Rfam family "Bacterial small subunit ribosomal RNA", at positions 524 to 776 of the family's 1533-position model. The record is from RNAcentral.